Molecule: long non-coding RNA, 4943 nt
Filed under: Ananas comosus (pineapple)
Lineage: Eukaryota; Viridiplantae; Streptophyta; Magnoliopsida; Poales; Bromeliaceae
Description: long non-coding RNA (ACOM_LNC017799)
Source: RNAcentral
GGGUGGAGAAGGGUAACUUUAUAAUUUUGCAUAAGUUGCAGAAUAACGAGCACUCGGCAAUGUAUCAUACUCGCCCCCCUAAUUACCAACCGGAUUACUUGCGGGAUGAACCAAAUAUAGUAAUAUGAAAAGAUUCCUACAAGAUACUCUGUAAUUUUGGCAGGAUAAUGUGAACCAAACAAGCCCUAAAUGUAGGUAGUAAAUCGAGAAGCCAUAGGCUGAAGUCUAAAAGUCACUCAGUUCUUUCCCUAGAAAUAAUAAAUGGUGAAUAUUUAUUUGUAAUAAUGGCAAUAGGUCGAUAAAUAACGACUCUUAGGUCUUUCCCAAGCCCCACACUUCCAAAAUAUUGUACUCCAUUUCAAUAAGUUAUAUAAUUUUUCAUUACCCCAAAAGUAUCUCUUUUUCUUGCAACUUAGUUUUAGGACAAAUAGUAGACUAACAAGAGUGAGGAAGACUUGCCCAUCUCUGAGCGGAAAGGCGGGCACAACACAAGCUUUUGCGAGUUAGAAGCAUAAGUCCAUGACAGUUGGUAUCAGAGCCGGUUCGAGGGAAAAACCAUGUCGUUGUCAAAUGCUGUUGGCGUUGAUAAUGUGCCGGAACCCAAACAGACCAAGUAGGAAAGAAGCAAAAAGCCACAGGCACUCGCGAAGGAGGCCACAUCCUCGGAGAACGGAGCGGGCCCUGCAAGAGAAAGUUACAACGAAAGUGAAGAAGCGAUGCUCCGCAUAAGCUCAGACCAUGAGUUUGUGGGAAGAGAGGCUUCGCUUGAUAGAGGAGGAUGUUGUCGCAGCCAUGGCAACAUUCUGCCAUCAUCUGGAGUAUUUCAAGGCAGAUCUUCCACGUCGCAACGACAAGCUAGACGCGCAAGAUGUGUUGCUUCAGGACAUCGGUGCCCAGGUCGAGGUCGCAGGCCUCAAGACGAGAUAGGCACUAACCGAGUGAACCAAAAGCGAUCAUGGCAAGCUACUUAAGGCAAGAGAGGCCAAAAGAGGGGUAGAGCAUCGCAAUAUAAGGGAGAGAAGGGACGCGACGAAGGAUCAAACCCUUUCAGCACUACAGCUACGCGAGGAGGUGGAGCACAGAAGGGUCGAGGUAGUAGUGGUCCUUGAGGAGAAGGAUGAGAGCAAGGAUGACAAGCCUCGAGAGUUCUUGGAGCAGCUUUUACCCAAUUGAGAGUUAGGUAGUUCUGUCAGACGCAAAUCCGAGAAAGAGCCUAAAAGGACAUGCGGGAGUCCCGCAACUCGGUAGCGUGUGCAUGCAUGUUGAGAAGGACAACCACAUUCGACGGGUCGAACAUGCCAACAAACUUAUCCGCACAUACAACUGGCUAGCGAUCAUACUCAAAGAGGAAAGGCACUUGGGGAUGGUGCGGAGGUGGAUGCGGACUAUAGCAGCAGCGCUCGAGAUUUGACGUGUGUGAAGGCACGACGAACUAUGAUCGAGGCUACACGAACGAGAACAUACACUAGCGCAAGACGAAAGCGUCUGCACAAUAGGUGGGGGAGAUUGUCACACGCAUCGUGAAAUCUAUCACCCAUCUACCCUUGAUAGUGACACAAACUCAAAACGCACAAUUUUGGAUCCUUUUAGAAGCUACUAUGGGAACUGAAACAUAAUAGCGUGAAGGGACUGAAGCAUCUCAACCUUGCGAAGCUGAAGUGUCAUGGGUAACUCAAAAGGUUUUCUAAGGAUAAGAACCCAUUUGGUUCGCAUUAUGCAGCAUUAUUGGUUACCUCAGCCUAACUAGUAAUUUCACAUAUGUGAUUAAGAUUACUACUAAUGCUGCAUUACGCCUUUUAGUUCACUGUAGUAAUGUAAUAUCAAAUUACUGUGUACAUAAGAUUAUUUUGUUGGUUAUCUUGUUUGGUUUAUCUGUUUUAUAUAUAUAUAUAUAUAUAUAUAUAUAUAUAUAUAUAUAUAUAUAUAUAUAUAUAUAUAUAUACUCAUGAUAGUAAAAGUUUAUACUUUCUAAAAUACCGUUAAACACAUAAAUUUGAAUGGGAAACUUUAAAUUUAAGUUUAAAAUAAAUUCAGAUUUUAAAUCAAAUUUAAAUAUUUGUUGUUCAAAUUUUAAAUUUCAAUUUUGAUUUGAGUUUGAAUUUUAAAUUCAAAUUUGAUUUUGAAUUCGAAUUUCAAUUGGAUUUUAAAAGUUGAAUUUAAAUUUAAACUUAAUAUUAAAUUUAAAAUCAAAUUUUAGUUUUUGGAUAAUUUCUAUUAUAAACUAAACCUUUUUUUGAAUGUUUCUAAAGGGCUGAUUUUUUAGUUACUUCGACCCAAUAGAAUCUUAAUGAUCAAAUUUUAAUUUCAAAUUUAAUUUUUGAACAGUCCAAGAUUUAUAUUCAAACCAUUCAAAUUCAAAAUUUGAAUUAUAUUUUCAUUUGUGUUCAAAUUUAAAUUCAAAUCAAAAUUUUAAUUCAAAUUUAAAAUUAAAUCAAAAUUUUAAACUUAAUUUUGAAAUACAAAUUCAAAUUUAAAUGGAAUUCAAAUUUUAAAUAGAUAUUCAAAUUAAAAUAUUUAAUUUGAAUGCAGACUUAAAUAUUUAAUUUUAAUUAAAAUAAAACUAAAAAUUAUUUUAGAUUUAAAUUUUCAAGCAAUUGGGGGUGGAGAAGGGUAACUUUAUAAUUUUGCAAUAAGUUGCAGAAAUAACGAGCACUCGCAAUGUAUCAUACUCGCCCCCCUCUAUUACCAACGGAUUACUUGCGGGGGAUGAACCAAAUAUAGUAAUAUGAAAAGAUUCCUACAAGAUACUCUGUAAUUUUGGCAGGAUAAUGUGAACCAAACAAGCCAAAUGUAGGUAAGUAAAUCGAGAAGCCAUAGGCUGAAGUCUAAAAGUCACUCAGUUCUUUCCCUAGAAAUAAUAAAUGGUGAAUAUUUAUUUGUAAUAAUGGCAAUAAGUCUAUAGAUAGUAUGGAGUCUUAGGUCUUUCCUAAGCCCCAAACUCCCAAAAUAUUGUACUCCAUUUUUCAAAGUAAUAUAAUUUUACAUUUCCCCAAAGUAUCUCUUUUUCUUGCAACUUAGUCAUAGGACAAGUAGGUCCGGACUAGCAUCUUUGAGGAGGAAGGCGGGCGCUUGCGAGUUAAAAGCAUAUGUCUGUGACAAGAAGCUCUACUCUACAAAAGAUUUCAUAAAGAAUAUAUACUAAAAGCAAUUAGAAUAUACAAGUGCUAAAAAAAUUAAAUAUUCCAUGCUGAAAUGUGUCGACACAUGUAAACUUGUCAACAACACACAUUGGUAUGAUACAGGACAUUGAAAACUCGACACAUACCAUCCCAUACCAUGCCAACAAGUGCUUGGCAUAAACCCAAGCUACGGCGCUUAAAUCCUUGCUUUCCAACUUAAUCCUUGCUUUCCAACCCAUGCUACGGCACUUAAAUCCUAGCUAUGGUGCCCAAGUAUCUGCACGAAGCACCAGAAAACCAUCUACAAGGGAACCAUGCAAUGGCCUAAAAGGGCUAAUGGCGGGCAGUUCUUACCUUUGUUUUGGGAGAGAUUCCUAGGGGUUGUUUUAGACAUUUAAUUGGGUCAUUAUCCCAAGGUUCCAUUAAUUAGAGAUUUUAUAUCAAAAAUGAUGUCAGCUAACCCUAGAAGCAAAAAAAACAUAAGUAGAACUUUAUCCCUUUGUUCCCUAGCCGACAGAAUUUUGUCAUCAAUUGAACAAUGACCAAAGACUUGCCUUUAAUUGUUUGGCUUUUUUUAGUUUCUUCCAAACCGGGACUCAUACAUGGACAGAAUUUUCAACACUUCUUCAAGUUUUAACAGUCAAAUGUGGCGUAUGUUAUUUUCUUUGACUAAAGCAAUGCGCUAUCACAACUCCACAGAACCAAUCCAUAGUACCGCUUGCCUUUGCCUACCGGUUACCUUGUGUCUAAUGGAAAACGUCAUUCUAGCUAAUUGUAUGAGCACUCCAAAUGCAAAAGAGGAAGGGAAAUGUGAAGCAUCGAGGAAGUGUUUUAAUACAAUAUGUUAAUCCAACAUCCUAGCACUGUGAAUGGGCUGUAAACUCUUGAUGGGAAGGACUUGAAGUUUGAAAGGUAAAAUAAUGCAAUGGGCUUGAAUGUAUAUCAUAAUACUUAAAUACGAGUAUAUAUAUCAUAAUAUUUUUCUAACUCUUUAGAUGAGAACUUCUAUAUGCCGGAUGUUAACCUAUAUAUAUGUUAAUAUGCUAUCAGCAUAGACAAGUCAUCUAAAGACAAUUUCCUAAUCAAAAGAAAAAAAUGAGACUUUAUGAUCCAAAAAUGCUGCUCAUAAUGCUUCCACAUCUUGCUUCAUAAAUUUUGCUUACUCUUGAGAAUUCUGACAUGUCCAAUUUUCUCUGUUUUAAAUUUGAAUCAAAAUAAAUUGGCAUCUUCCUAGAAGGACUACCCCACAGGCCCACAAACAUAAAUUCUCAUCCUAACUUGAAAGCCAUUAAGUGUAGGCAUAUACAUUGCACUUGACACCAAAACAUACUUUAUGAAUGUAUAUGCCCUUUUUAAGCCAAAAACAAUUAAUCUAUAGCUCGCUUCCCAUUUUGACAGAGUUUAUAAAGUAGUAGAAAUUCUGUACCCAAAUGAUAUAUAAUUGUUAAGCAUCAUAUUUUAAAUUUCUCACAAAAUUAGAGUGAACUAACUAAUUGUGAGACCCCAGGUAGUCCUAUAUAUAAGAUAUAAUAGGGCUAAACUCUUAACCCGGCUUAAACAUUUUGGGCGGUGGCUAGGCCCAAGAAGUUAAAAGAGUUAAGUAUGCUAGGACGGGAGUAGUCCUAGGAUGGGUGACUCCCUGGGAAGUUGGGGCGUCACACUAAUCCUAAUUUUGCUAUUUCGUCAUAUUAUUUGACCAACCAAUUGUCAAUUUUUGAAUAUUUCAAAUAUCUGAGAAAAAAUCAGAAUAAUUAAGAAUCCCAAUGUUUGACUUUUUUUUAUAUCUUUUUUUUUUAUUGAUUUCUUUUAUUAUUGUUCCUUUAU